This 472-nucleotide ribosomal RNA is filed under the name uncultured bacterium. RNAcentral's name for it is "bacterial SSU rRNA". It matches the Rfam family "Bacterial small subunit ribosomal RNA", at positions 355 to 825 of the family's 1533-position model. The record is from RNAcentral.
UGGGGAAUAUUGGACAAUGGGGGAAACCCUGAUCCAGCCAUGCCGCGUGUGUGAAGAAGGCCUUUUGGUUGUAAAGCACUUUAAGCAGUGAAGAAGACUCCGUGGUUAAUACCCACGGACGAUGACAUUAGCUGCAGAAUAAGCACCGGCUAACUCUGUGCCAGCAGCCGCGGUAAUACAGAGGGUGCAAGCGUUAAUCGGAAUUACUGGGCGUAAAGGGAGCGUAGGUGGCUCGAUAAGUCAGAUGUGAAAUCCCCGGGCUCAACCUGGGAACUGCAUCUGAUACUGUUGAGCUAGAGUAUGUGAGAGGAAGGUAGAAUUCCAGGUGUAGCGGUGAAAUGCGUAGAGAUCUGGAGGAAUACCGAUGGCGAAGGCAGCCUUCUGGCAUAAUACUGACACUGAGGCUCGAAAGCGUGGGUAGCAAACAGGAUUAGAUACCCCUGUAGUCCCUGAGCGGGCUGGCAAGGCGCAU